ACUCAAAGGAAUUGACGGGGGCCCGCACAAGCAGUGGAUUAUGUGGUUUAAUUCGACGAUACCCGAAGAACCUUACCAGAACUUGACAUCCAGAGAAUGCUGUAGAAGUACAGCAGUGCCCGCAAGGGAGCUUUGAGACAGGUGGUGCAUGGUUGUCGUCAGCUCGUGUCGUGAGAUGUUAGGUUAAGUCCUGCAACGAGCGCAACCCUCGUCCUGUGUUACUACAUUUAGUUGAGGACUCUCAGGAGACUGCCCGUGGCAAACGGGAGGAAGGUGGGGAUGACGUCAAAUCAUCAUGCCCUUUAUGUUCUGGGCUACACACAUAAUACAAUGGUCGGUACAAAGGGAUGCCAAACCGCAAGGUGGAGCUAAUCUCAAAAAACCGGCCUCAGUUCAGAUUGUAGGCUGCAACUCGCCUGCAUGAAGAUGGAAUUGCUAGUAAACGCAGAUCAGAAUGCUGCGUUGAAUACGUUCCCGGGCCUUGUACACACCGCCCGU
Molecule: ribosomal RNA, 498 nt
Filed under: uncultured bacterium
Lineage: Bacteria
Description: bacterial SSU rRNA
Rfam family: Bacterial small subunit ribosomal RNA
Source: RNAcentral